This 206-nucleotide ribosomal RNA is filed under the name uncultured bacterium. RNAcentral's name for it is "partial 16S ribosomal RNA". It matches the Rfam family "Bacterial small subunit ribosomal RNA", at positions 568 to 774 of the family's 1533-position model. The record is from RNAcentral.
AGCGUAGACGGUGUGGCAAGUCUGAUGUGAAAGGCAUGGGCUCAACCUGUGGACUGCAUUGGAAACUGUCAUGCUUGAGUGCCGGAGGGGUAAGCGGAAUUCCUAGUGUAGCGGUGAAAUGCGUAGAUAUUAGGAGGAACACCAGUAGCGAAGGCGGCUUACUGGACGGUAACUGACGUUGAGGCUCGAAAGCGUGGGAGCAAACA